UACAGAGGGUGCAAGCGUUGUUCGGAAUUACUGGGCGUAAAGCGCGUGUAGGCGGUUUAAUAAGUCGGACGUGAAAGCCCUCGGCUCAACCGAGGAACUGCGUUCGAAACUGUUAGACUAGAGUAUCGGAGGGGGUGGCGGAAUUCCCGGUGUAGCGGUGAAAUUCGUAGAUAUCGGGAGGAACAUCUGUGGCGAAGGCGGCCACCUGGAAGAUUACUGACGCUGAGCCGCGAAAGCGUGGGGAGCAAACAGG
Molecule: ribosomal RNA, 253 nt
Filed under: uncultured bacterium
Lineage: Bacteria
Description: partial 16S ribosomal RNA
Rfam family: Bacterial small subunit ribosomal RNA
Source: RNAcentral